RNAcentral lists this ribosomal RNA (399 nucleotides) under uncultured bacterium. RNAcentral's name for it is "bacterial SSU rRNA". It matches the Rfam family "Bacterial small subunit ribosomal RNA", at positions 29 to 415 of the family's 1533-position model. The record is from RNAcentral.
AACGAACGCUGGCGGCGCGCCUAACACAUGCAAGUCGAACGAGAAGCUGUAGCAAUACAGUUGUACAGUGGCGAACGGGUGAGGAAUACAUGGGUGACCUACCCUCGAGUGGGGAAUAACCAGCCGAAAGGUUGGCUAAUACCGCGUACGUUUCCCAGUUUACGGAUUGGGAAGGAAAGCGAUGCCGGUGGGUAUCGCGCUCAAGGUUGGGCUCAUGUCCUAUCAGCUUGUUGGUGAGGUAACGGCUCACCAAGGCAACGACGGGUAGCUGGUCUGAGAGGACGAUCAGCCACACUGGCACUGCGACACGGGCCAGACUCCUACGGGAGGCAGCAGUGAGGAAUAUUGCGCAAGUGGGACGAAAGCCUGACGCAGCGACGCCGCGGUGGGGGAGUGGAA